GUCAAGUUGAAUGAGCGCAUAUCUCUUAAGUUAUUGCCAGCUCUACUAAGUUAUUACUGUUUUAAGGGGCUAUGUAUCUCUGUACUCCUAACUUAUGGAUGCUCAACAGCUCAAGGCAGCAGUGGUAUAUGUGCAUGCCAGCUUGUUAUGUACUGUAUUUGACUAUAUGUGGUUGCUUAUGUAUGUCUGUAGUACCUUCUCAUGUAAUAUACACUAGGCAGCAGUUAUAUGUGCUUUGCCGGCUUGUUAUGGAUUUGGCACCAGUUAUAUGUGCUUUGCCGGCUUGUUAUGGAUUUCUGCGUAUGGUUUGUUUGGUUUGUUGCCUUUAUUCCUUGAACAAAAGGUUCAGAGUAGGGAUCCGUAGCACUAGAUCUGCAUCAAUCUCUUCAAGAUGCAGAUCUGUUGUUUCACAUGAUGUUGCAACAUUAAUUUGUCUUGAACAUAACCUUCGAAUAACGUAACCUUGGAGAUUUUUUGAAACUUUAGUCCCAAGCCUGCAAAUAGCUAGCUGGCUAGGCUAAUCAUCGCCCCGAGGAAAUCAAAAGCUUCUACGAGAAUGGCCACUCUGAAUGUUCUGAACCAUCCCUGUUAUGAAAUAGUUGGCAAAAUCAUUAGGCGGUGAGAUUGCUGACUUACUCUCAUAAGAUUGUUCUUAUGUCCAGUUUUGUUAAAUGUUAGUUGUGCAACAUUGAAUGCAGUAUGCUGCUUGUCAAAUACUAGUCGUUGUGGACAAUGCCAAUUGAAUUGGCAUGCACUAAUCAUUUCUGCACCAGAAAGCGCAUUUGUCAUUGUUCUAAUAUGGAUAUUGAUCGGUGCUUUCAUGCCUUCACUUAUGGGACGGUGUAUGAGUAAAGCUUGAUGUGAUGAGUGCUAUGAUGUGAGCAAAAUAGCCUUAUCACAUCCUAGCUUGAUGUGAUGAGUGCAUGAAACAAGGUGUUACUCAAGCCUCCGGGAAUGUGCUAUAAAAACAAAGGCAGGGCUAUUUGUGUUUUAUGAAUGAUGAUGCAACUUUUGAAUUAAGAUAUGACGGGUUUGCAUGAUUUAGUAUGUUCACAUCUGUGAGAGCAUUUAAUUUUUUUUCAAGGUUAUAAAGUAGCAUGGCAUUGGCCAUUUGAGAAGCAGAGCAAUAAAAGCCAAGUUUGUCCAUAUGUACCCGCUCUUUUUCAUGCCAAUAUGAUUUGCCCAAUAUUAAUCAGUUGAUAAACCUGAUAAAUUUAUGGCAUCGUUCUUACAGAUAAAAUGGACAUUCAAAAGCCUGAGGAAAUGCAGCCUGAAGCAACUAGGGCUUACACUCCCCAAGAGCGAACGUCUGGGGCGAUCGCUGACUUUCAAAAUGAGAAUACCAUUUUGUAGGGCUGAUUUUAACUCAGAUAAAAGGGAGGUUCCACAUGUUCCAGUCCCCAUCCUCACAUCAUUGCUUCCCCUUGACCAUGAUAGGGAAAUGGUUGUUUACAUAAGAACUACUUUUCAGUUUCCAUACUUUGUUCUAUUGGUCCCUGUUUUUUAUUUUCAGUUGUGCAGAUUUUAAUUAGGGACCUAAGGAUUCAGAUUUGUUCCAAGCUUUCUUGCUUGCAAUAAAACUCUUGCCAGGACCACUGGCCAUAGGAAUCAAAGUGAGACUACCAGUUUUCUGUUGAACAAUUACUACUCUGAUUUUAUUGUGUCAUAUACCUAAAUUUAUCCUUAAAUGAAAACUUGACAUGCAAACUGCAUGUCCUUAUGUAUUGUUUCAGUAACAUGAUUAUUACAUAGUAAUCCAGUUAAUUAUGCAAGAGCCAAUAGGGGGCAUGACAUUGUACCUUUGUACUACUAUUUCAGAUACAUGAUUUUAUAUAGCUAAAAAAAUGUUACCUGAAUCUAUAAUUGUUGUUGGAGAAUGUAGCUUGCAGUGAGUUUCUACAAACCAUCUCAACAAUCUUUUGUUUACUGUACAGAUCAUAUCUCAGGAGAUCCUGGUUGCGGCGAGAGCGGAAUUGACCAGCUGACAUUGGAAGAUGCUCAUGUUGGAGCAUUAUUAACUCUAGGGUAGCCAUUUGUUCAACCAUCAGAGCAGUGGCACCGAAGCCAUCCAACCAUGCGUCACCAGGAGGUAAGUGUGAAGUGGCGGAAGAAAGUGCAAAGCCAUCCAGUAUUGCUGCAUGGUGGGACCUUGGAGGCAGAAAUGAAAUAAAUGGCUACGAUGAGAAUCAGCCAGAGAAAGUGCAUCGAUAACAAAAGGGGUAAGCUGGUGCGCGCAGAAUAUUAGCCAAAAGUGGCGCACAACUUCAUGCGCCACUCCAUAUAUAUAUUGCUAGAUAGAUACUAAUUCUCUUUGAUCUUUGUGUAGGUUUAGAUUUUUGCAUUUCUGACAAGAGGCACUUCUGCAGCAGAGCUUUAGUUGAAUUUUUGGAAGCAGAUGAAGCAAACAAUGUUACCAAUAAUAAUCUUAGUUUUGCAGGAGGUCGCUAUCCAAGCUGACGCCUCUCUCCUCGUCUUCGACGGCCAUAUCGUCCCUCUGUACCGAUGGCAGCGAUUUGUUCUCCUGCAGGCUUAUUAGAGGCAGGAGCACAACAGUGGAGUGCAGGGACAUCAACGUCGGCGGCACCAACAGCAAUGACACGAGGUAGGCGACUUGUAGUGCAUUGUCCAUGUUGUUUUGGCAGAGGUCACAAAGUAUAUGCACUUGGUUAACUCUACUGACGUUCUGCAGUUGAUUUGCUUGCAUAAGUAUGCCAUGAACUAUAUGUAUCACUACAUAAAGUUUUCUCUUAUGAGCAAUUGUUCACUUUGUUUUAUUAACCUUCAUUAUAUUUUUUAGUAAUCUCUGAGUGCAAGUUUUGUGGACAUGUGAUGAUUAUUUAUUAUUUGUGAACCAGAGAUGGUGAUAAUAGGAUCCAAGAAUUCAGCACUACACGGUGAUAAUAUAUACGUAAUAUUUUCUUGAUCAGUCUUAUGCAUCACAGUCAUGAGCUUUUGUGUUCUUUUCGUUCUGCAGUUUAGAAAUGAUGGGCAUGGUUCUUCCAUCAACAAAACUCAGGCAUAGUCUCUUUCCUUGUUUUUUUUUUUUUUUGAAACGGAGGCAAAAGCUCUGUUUCAAAAAAAAGUCUUAUUUCAGAUUAGAACUGAAUAUUUCCAAUACAUCCAGGACUUUAAUAUGUUCGUUUGAAAAUGUUGAUACCGUGCAACUAUGUGUUCUCUUCUCAUGUAUGCACCUCAUUGUUCAUUUUUUCUCAAACACACAUUUUUGUACUAAGGAGAAGGGUGUUAAUAUGACGCAGACCGAGUCAUUGUUCAUGCUAUUUUGUUUUAAAAAGCACUACAAUUUGUGUUGAUGGCAUUCUUAUUCUGUUGUAUUUUUGUACUUUGAAUAGCAUAGAGGAUCUCACAAUCACGUGAAUGGUCAACCAUAUUUCCUUGGGCAUGGAGACCAAACUUUUUGACAAAAUGCGCUCCAUUAAUAUCUGACUAGGCAUGAAAACCAAGCUUACCAUGAUAUUGGUAAAUGGUAAUCCACACUAGGAGACAUGAUUAGAUGCAUCCAUAACUACAUUUUGUAAUAUUACAGGAAAAUGGUGUCAGAACAGUUACCAUCUCCUUUUGCAAUGUUGGCUUAUUGUUAUGAAAUUUAACAGUGAAGCGGUUCAGCCGGACAGUUUACGAUUGCAUUUGCAGAUUGUAUGUCAGUGUAACAUAUAUGAAGGACGACAGAAGAAGACUGUUUUCAAAUACAUGCCGGAGA
This 3718-nucleotide long non-coding RNA is filed under the name Triticum aestivum (bread wheat). RNAcentral describes it as "long non-coding RNA (TAES_LNC012683)". The record is from RNAcentral. Lineage: Eukaryota; Viridiplantae; Streptophyta; Magnoliopsida; Poales; Poaceae.